This 1446-nucleotide ribosomal RNA is filed under the name uncultured organism. RNAcentral describes it as "SSU rRNA". It matches the Rfam family "Bacterial small subunit ribosomal RNA". The record is from RNAcentral.
AGGCCUAACGCAUGCAAGUCGAGCGGUAGCACAGAGAGCUUGCUCUCGGGUGACGAGCGGCGGACGGGUGAGUAAUGUCUGGGAAACUGCCUGAUGGAGGGGGAUAACUACUGGAAACGGUAGCUAAUACCGCAUAACGUCGCAAGACCAAAGUGGGGGACCUUCGGGCCUCAUGCCAUCAGAUGUGCCCAGAUGGGAUUAGCUAGUAGGUGGGGUAACGGCUCACCUAGGCGACGAUCCCUAGCUGGUCUGAGAGGAUGACCAGCCACACUGGAACUGAGACACGGUCCAGACUCCUACGGGAGGCAGCAGUGGGGAAUAUUGCACAAUGGGCGCAAGCCUGAUGCAGCCAUGCCGCGUGUGUGAAGAAGGCCUUCGGGUUGUAAAGCACUUUCAGCGGGGAGGAAGGCGUUAAGGUUAAUAACCUUGGCGAUUGACGUUACCCGCAGAAGAAGCACCGGCUAACUCCGUGCCAGCAGCCGCGGUAAUACGGAGGGUGCAAGCGUUAAUCGGAAUUACUGGGCGUAAAGCGCACGCAGGCGGUCUGUCAAGUCGGAUGUGAAAUCCCCGGGCUCAACCUGGGAACUGCAUUCGAAACUGGCAGGCUAGAGUCUUGUAGAGGGGGGUAGAAUUCCAGGUGUAGCGGUGAAAUGCGUAGAGAUCUGGAGGAAUACCGGUGGCGAAGGCGGCCCCCUGGACAAAGACUGACGCUCAGGUGCGAAAGCGUGGGGAGCAAACAGGAUUAGAUACCCUGGUAGUCCACGCCGUAAACGAUGUCGAUUUGGAGGUUGUGCCCUUGAGGCGUGGCUUCCGGAGCUAACGCGUUAAAUCGACCGCCUGGGGAGUACGGCCGCAAGGUUAAAACUCAAAUGAAUUGACGGGGGCCCGCACAAGCGGUGGAGCAUGUGGUUUAAUUCGAUGCAACGCGAAGAACCUUACCUGGUCUUGACAUCCACAGAACUUUCCAGAGAUGGAUUGGUGCCUUCGGGAACUGUGAGACAGGUGCUGCAUGGCUGUCGUCAGCUCGUGUUGUGAAAUGUUGGGUUAAGUCCCGCAACGAGCGCAACCCUUAUCCUUUGUUGCCAGCGGUUCGGCCGGGAACUCAAAGGAGACUGCCAGUGAUAAACUGGAGGAAGGUGGGGAUGACGUCAAGUCAUCAUGGCCCUUACGACCAGGGCUACACACGUGCUACAAUGGCAUAUACAAAGAGAAGCGACCUCGCGAGAGCAAGCGGACCUCAUAAAGUAUGUCGUAGUCCGGAUUGGAGUCUGCAACUCGACUCCAUGAAGUCGGAAUCGCUAGUAAUCGUAGAUCAGAAUGCUACGGUGAAUACGUUCCCGGGCCUUGUACACACCGCCCGUCACACCAUGGGAGUGGGUUGCAAAAGAAGUAGGUAGCUUAACCUUCGGGAGGGCGCUUACCACUUUGUGAUUCAUGACUGGGGUG